This 424-nucleotide ribosomal RNA is filed under the name uncultured bacterium. RNAcentral describes it as "bacterial LSU rRNA". It matches the Rfam family "Bacterial large subunit ribosomal RNA", at positions 1648 to 2067 of the family's 2925-position model. The record is from RNAcentral.
CGCAAACCGACACUGGUGCGCGAGAUGAGUAUUCUCAGGCGCUUGAGAGAACUCUGGAGAAGGAACUCGGCAAAUUGACACCGUAACUUCGGAAGAAGGUGUGCCUUUAGUAGGUGAAGUUGUACAAAUGGAGCCGAAUGAGGCCGCAGAGAAUCGGUGGCUGCGACUGUUUAAUAAAAACACAGCACUCUGCAAAGACGAAAGUCGACGUAUAGGGUGUGACGCCUGCCCGGUGCUGGAAGAUUAAAUGAUGGGGUGCAAGCUCUUGACUGAAGUCCCAGUAAACGGCGGCCGUAACUAUAACGGUCCUAAGGUAGCGAAAUUCCUUGUCGGGUAAGUUCCGACCUGCACGAAUGGCGUAACGAUGGCCACACUGUCUCCUCCAGAGACUCAGCGAAGUUGAAAUGUUGUGAUGAUGCAAUCU